CCUACGGGUGGCAGCAGUGAGGAAUAUUGGUCAAUGGGCGCGAGCCUGAACCAGCCAAGUAGCGUGAAGGAUGACUGCCCUACGGGUUGUAAACUUCUUUUAUAAAGGAAUAAAGUGAGGCACGUGAGCCUUAUUGUAUGUACUUUAUGAAUAAGGAUCGGCUAACUCCGUGCCAGCAGCCGCGGUAAUAAGGAGGAUACGAGCGAUUUCCGGAUUUUUUGGGUUUAAAGGGAGCGUAUAUGGGUUGUUAAGUCAGUUGUGAAAGUUUGCGGCUCAACCGUAAAAUUGCAAUUGAUACUGGCAGUCUUGAGUACAGUUGAGGUAGGCGGAAUUCGUGGUGUAGCGGUGAAAUGCUUAGAUAUCACGAAGAACUCCGAUUGCGAAGGCAGCUUACUAAACUGCCACUGACAUUGAUGCUCGAAAGUGUGGGUAUCAAACAGGAUUAGAUACCCGAGUAGUC
This 460-nucleotide ribosomal RNA is filed under the name uncultured bacterium. RNAcentral's name for it is "partial 16S ribosomal RNA". It matches the Rfam family "Bacterial small subunit ribosomal RNA", at positions 338 to 795 of the family's 1533-position model. The record is from RNAcentral.